GAUGAACGCUGGCGGCGUGCCUAAUACAUGCAAGUCGAGCGAACAGACGAGGAGCUUGCUCCUCUGACGUUAGCGGCGGACGGGUGAGUAACACGUGGAUAACCUACCUAUAAGACUGGGAUAACUUCGGGAAACCGGAGCUAAUACCGGAUAAUAUAUUGAACCGCAUGGUUCAAUAGUGAAAGACGGUUUUGCUGUCACUUAUAGCUGCAUCCGGGCCGCAUUGGCUAGUUGGUACGGUAACGGCUUACCACGGCGACGAUGCGUAGCCGACCUGAGAGGGGGGUCGGCGACACGAGAAGUGAGACGCGGUCCAGGCUCCUGAGGGAGGGAGCAGUAGGGAAUGGUACGCAGUGGGCGGGAGCAUGGCAGAGCGACGCCGCGUGAGUGAUGAAGAUCUUCGGAUCGUAAAGCUCUGUUAUUGGGGAAGAACAGAUGUGGAAGGAACUGAGCACGUAUUGACGGUAACUAGUCAGAAAGCAACGGCUAACUACGUG
RNAcentral lists this ribosomal RNA (497 nucleotides) under uncultured bacterium. RNAcentral's name for it is "partial 16S ribosomal RNA". It matches the Rfam family "Bacterial small subunit ribosomal RNA", at positions 28 to 507 of the family's 1533-position model. The record is from RNAcentral.